Long non-coding RNA from Mesocricetus auratus (golden hamster), 860 nucleotides. RefSeq lists it as uncharacterized. The record is from RefSeq and is a predicted model, not a curated record. NCBI's taxonomy places the organism in Eukaryota, Metazoa, Chordata, Mammalia, Rodentia, Cricetidae. The transcript has 2 exons.
UGUGAUGCAAAGGGAGGAGAUGGGAGACUAGGAAAUAACGUCAGAAUUGCCCAAGAAGGGUUCCUCCUGAAAGUCAGAAGCGGUUGUCCUCUGGCCAGGGAAAUACAGAGUUCUGAAAGAGGACAGGUGAGGUGUUGGUCUCCGGCAGAAAGACUCUCUCUCUUCUUUGGGUCAUUGGCAGCUGAGGAGGGAGGUGGAGUGCAAGACGCCUGCUUGCUCACGUGAGUCUGGAAUGGGACAGAGAGAGCUGUUACCUGAGGAUGCAGAGUUGUCCCUCUGUGCAUACUCGAUGUCAGCAUCGACUCCAGCAGCCAGCUAGCUGCAGGCCUGAACACUUCGAGGCCCUCACACACUGUAUGGGACACAGCUCCAGCCCCAGUGGCUCCCAAAGCCUUCCUGACAGCCCCCUGGGCUAGCCUGAAGAAGAGGUCCCUGGGCUAGCCUGAAGCAGAGCUUCCCUGAAAGGCACCAUCAGACUUUGUAAGAAAGUGAUAGAUGGCUUUAAGCAGCAAUUUAAUUCUUGAAUGAGAAAGUAUGGCAUUCAAAACACUCAAGCGACACAUUUGUGAAAAAGCCCUGAUGAGUGUUUACAGUUAUUUUCCAAACACAAAAUGAACUGGAAAAAGAAGAAACCUCACAACCAUUAUUUAAGUACUGAUAUAAAAGAAAAGUUUAACUCUGUGUGUUCAGGGGUCUACAGCAUGUGGAACAAAAUCCUCCUCAUGUUCCUCCACCUGGGGUUCACUGAGAAAAGACAGGGAGGCCAGAAGAACAGACACACGGACACAGGCACACACGAUUGAUUCUCUAAUGUGUUUCCCAAUAACUACAUCAUUAAAUUUAGCUAAAGCUUUCCAACA